UACGGGGGGAGCAAGCGUUGUUCGGAUUUACUGGGCGUAAAGGGCGCGUAGGCGGCCACCGCAAGUCGAUUGUGAAAUCUCCGGGCUUAACCCGGAAAGGUCAACCGAUACUGCGGGGCUAGAGUGCAGAAGGGGCAACUGGAAUUCUCGGUGUAGCGGUGAAAUGCGUAGAUAUCGAGAGGAACACCUGCGGCGAAGGCGGGUUGCUGGGCUGACACUGACGCUGAAGUGCGAAAGCUAGGGGAGCGAAUGGG
RNAcentral lists this ribosomal RNA (254 nucleotides) under uncultured bacterium. Its description in RNAcentral is "partial 16S ribosomal RNA". It matches the Rfam family "Bacterial small subunit ribosomal RNA", at positions 524 to 776 of the family's 1533-position model. The record is from RNAcentral.